GUGGGGAAUAUUGGACAAUGGGCGAAAGCCUGAUCCAGCCAUGCCGCGUGUGUGAAGAAGGUCUUCGGAUUGUAAAGCACUUUAAGUUGGGAGGAAGGGUAGUAACCUAAUACGUUGCUACUUUGAAGUUACCGACAGAAUAAGCACCGGCUAACUUCGUGCAAGCAGCCGCGGUAAGACGACGGGUGCAAGCGUUAAUCGGAAUUACUGGGGGUAAAGCGCGCGUAGGUGGUUCAGUACGUGGGAAGUGAAAUCCCCGGGCUCAACCUGGGUACUGCUUUCAAAACUGCUGAGCUAGAGUACGGUAGGGGGUGGUGGAAUUUCCUGUGUAGCGGUGAAAAGCGUAGAUAUAGGAAGGAACACCAGUGGCGAAGGCGACCACCUGGACUGAUACUGACACUGAGGUGCGAAAGCGUGGGGAGCAAACAGGAUUAGAAACCCGGGUAGUCC
RNAcentral lists this ribosomal RNA (450 nucleotides) under uncultured bacterium. RNAcentral's name for it is "partial 16S ribosomal RNA". It matches the Rfam family "Bacterial small subunit ribosomal RNA", at positions 354 to 796 of the family's 1533-position model. The record is from RNAcentral.